AUUGAACGCUGGCGGCAUGCUUUACACAUGCAAGUCGAACGGUAACAGGUCUUCGGAUGCUGACGAGUGGCGAACGGGUGAGUAAUACAUCGGAACGUGCCUAGUAGUGGGGGAUAACUACUCGAAAGAGUAGCUAAUACCGCAUGAGAUCUACGGAUGAAAGCAGGGGACCUUCGGGCCUUGUGCUACUAGAGCGGCUGAUGGCAGAUUAGGUAGUUGGUGGGGUAAAGGCUUACCAAGCCUGCGAUCUGUAGCUGGUCUGAGAGGACGACCAGCCACACUGGGACUGAGACACGGCCCAGACUCCUACGGGAGGCAGCAGUGGGGAAUUUUGGUCAAUGGGCGAAAGCCUGAUCCAGCAAUGCCGCGUGCAGGAUGAAGGCCCUCGGGUUGUAAACUGCUUUUGUACGGAACGAAAAGCCUGGGGCUAAUAUCCCCGGGUCAUGACGGUACCGUAAGAAUAAGCACCGGCUAACUACGUG
This 482-nucleotide ribosomal RNA is filed under the name uncultured bacterium. Its description in RNAcentral is "partial 16S ribosomal RNA". It matches the Rfam family "Bacterial small subunit ribosomal RNA", at positions 30 to 507 of the family's 1533-position model. The record is from RNAcentral.